UACGUAGGGUGCGAGCGUUAAUCGGAAUUACUGGGCGUAAAGCGUGCGUAGGCGGUUUCUUAAGUCGGAUGUGAAAGCCCUGGGCUCAACCUGGGAAUGGCACUCGAUACUGGGAAGCUUGAGUGCGGUAGAGGAGGGUGGAAUUCCCGGUGUAGCGGUGAAAUGCGUAGAGAUCGGGAGGAACAUCAGUGGCGAAGGCGACCCUCUGGACCAGCACUGACGCUGAGGCACGAAAGCGUGGGGAGCAAACAGG
This 253-nucleotide ribosomal RNA is filed under the name uncultured bacterium. RNAcentral's name for it is "partial 16S ribosomal RNA". It matches the Rfam family "Bacterial small subunit ribosomal RNA", at positions 524 to 776 of the family's 1533-position model. The record is from RNAcentral.